UACUGAGUUUGUACAGCACAGAAAGGAGUUUGGGUAGUUUCAAAAGGAGACUAGGGCACAGUUUCAGGGUUUAAACGAUAUGCUCCAGGCAGCUUAUGCAUGGGCUGGAUAGGCAGGCCAGCCAAAAAGACCAAAUGGCGAAGCAGAUACAAAAGAUGGCGGAGACUGGAGCACAAAAUCAGUGAUUCAUUGAUGAUAUGGAGUUUGAUCUAGCAGG
RNAcentral lists this long non-coding RNA (217 nucleotides) under Ricinus communis (castor bean). RNAcentral describes it as "long non-coding RNA (RCOM_LNC000559)". Lineage: Eukaryota; Viridiplantae; Streptophyta; Magnoliopsida; Malpighiales; Euphorbiaceae. The record is from RNAcentral.